This 340-nucleotide long non-coding RNA is filed under the name Olea europaea subsp. europaea. Lineage: Eukaryota; Viridiplantae; Streptophyta; Magnoliopsida; Lamiales; Oleaceae. The record is from RNAcentral.
AUGUAAAAUGUAAAUGUAAAUGUAAUGAUUCUUUGUGUUAAGCUCAAUUGAGCCUGUCACAACUUUAGUGCUCAUAGCAGCAUCACAGGAUUUUUCAAACUUUUCACUAUUUAUUUCUCCUGUACUAAUUUUACCUGCGAUGCUGGCACUGCUUUUCGCUAAUGGCACAUUUAAACCAUUAGCUACUCAUUUUCCUCACGAGGCUGAGUUGGCCCCGCACACCCAGUCACGAAAAUCGAUAAUUUGAAUGAUUCAAAUUUUCGACCCGCCCGGGAAUCGAACCUGAGACCCCCGCGUGCAAGACGAGUGCUAUGACCACUGCGCCAUGGGAGCUGACUAU